RNAcentral lists this long non-coding RNA (272 nucleotides) under Homo sapiens (human). RNAcentral describes it as "HSALNT0026041". The record is from RNAcentral. Lineage: Eukaryota; Metazoa; Chordata; Mammalia; Primates; Hominidae.
UCAGAGCAGUCCUUGCACCAGCUCAGGAUUGAUAUGUUAGGAAAGAGCUUUGGCCAAAUGUGGAUUUCAUGUUUGCUUCUGCACGGACUCAUCUGAAAGAAAUACUGGGCGACCCAAAGAACCAAACCAGGGAAUGUCUUCUGACCUCUAUCCCAGCAAUGCCGGUGCUUGCUGUCCGUGGGCCACAUCUGGAGCAGCGAACAUUUAGGAUCAGCUUUAAGCUACAUUCUCUUUCAUGCCCCAAACCAAGGAAACAUCAAGUUGGAAAAAGA